This 61-nucleotide transfer RNA is filed under the name Rhynchothorax sp. JZ-2022. RNAcentral's name for it is "tRNA-Ser". The record is from RNAcentral. Lineage: Eukaryota; Metazoa; Arthropoda; Pycnogonida; Pantopoda; Tanystylidae.
GAAGAUUUAUAAAUAUUAAACUUCUAAUUUAAUUAAAGCGAUUAAAUUUCGUUGAUCUUGU